Ictidomys tridecemlineatus (thirteen-lined ground squirrel) is the source of this 72-nucleotide non-coding RNA. NCBI's taxonomy places the organism in Eukaryota, Metazoa, Chordata, Mammalia, Rodentia, Sciuridae. The record is from Rfam.
GUGGUUGUGGCUCAAUAGUAGAGUGCUUGCCUUGCAUGUAAGAGGCACUGGGUUCGAUCCCCAGCACCAUCU